UAAGCCCUGCAUGUUGCGAAGUCUCUGGUUCCACCUGGGAUACGAAAUCCAAAGAAAUUUCAUAGCAACUGCGGGGCUUC
RNAcentral lists this non-coding RNA (80 nucleotides) under unclassified sequences. RNAcentral describes it as "DUF3800-VIII RNA". It matches the Rfam family "DUF3800-VIII RNA". From Rfam's summary of the family: Bacteroidetes, Cyanobacteria, Firmicutes, Planctomycetes (1 example), Proteobacteria, Tenericutes (1 example). The record is from Rfam by way of RNAcentral.